GCGGCGUGCGGUGGCGGAGGUGGAGCACGUUGGUCGGCGGCGGAGCCCUGCGCGGCGCGUCCGACCUGCACCGGACGUGCUCUGCCCCUUCGAUUGCAGCACCCCGCUCUGCCCCUUCGUCUGCAACUUGUCCUUGUGAGCGCCAGAGGUGAAAAAGGUGCAGUUGGUCUCUGCCAUGGACAACUACCAAAGCUCGUUGCGAAAUUUCUGGAUGAUGGAGGAGGAAGACGAUGACAUGCAUUUCUUGCUUGAUGAUGAUGAAGCGGAGGUGGCGACAUACAAUCUCCUGGUGGAAGCAGAGAGCUCUCGCACGCAUCGUCGAAGUGAUGGUCCUCCAAAGGUUAUUCGGCGAGGGACCUUCCUUCUGGUCAUAAGAGGAUCAAAGCCGACUACUUCGUACCAAAUCCAGUGUACAACGACAAGCAAUUCCGUCGAAGAUUUCGGAUGCGUCGUCCUUUAUUCAAGCGCAUUAAAGAGGCUGUAAAAAAUCAUGAUGACUACUUCAAAAAGAAAUGCGAUGCCACUGGCAAGGAAGGACUAUCGGCUCUCCAAAAGUGUGUCGCGUCAAUGCGCAUUCUUGCUUACGGACUCCCGGCGGAUGCUGUUGACGAGUACGUGCGUAUCGGUGAUUCAACUGCUAGACAAGCUUUGAAUCAUUUCUGUCAGGCUGUCAUUGAAGUUUUUGGCGAGCAGUACCUACGGGCACCCAACGAAGCCGAUGUAGCUAGGCUUCUUCAAGAGGGGCAGAAUCGUGGGUUCCCGGGGAUGCUAGGCAGCAUAGAUUGCAUGCACUGGGAGUGGAGGAAUUGCCCAAGGGUCAGUUCACGGGCAGAGGGAAGCAUCCAACUAUGAUUUUAGAGGCUGUUGCAUCGCAUGAUCUAUGGAAAUGGCAUGCUUACUUUGGCAUGCCGGGGAGUAACAAUGACAUUAAUGUUCUUCAUAGAUCCCCUAUGUUCUCUAGUUACCUAAGGGGUCGUUCAACCCCUGUGUCGUUUGCAGUGAAUGGAAGGACAUAUAACAUGGGCUAUUACCUUGCGGAUGGGAUUUACCCUGAGUGGGCAGCAUUUGUUAAGACUAUUCGUCACCCCAUGGAGCAAAAGAUGCGGCAUUUUGCAGCUCAACAGGAAAGUGCGCGCAAGGAUAUAGAGCGUGCAUUUGGUGUGCUACAAACUCGGUUUGCCGUGAUCAGAGGACCCGCAUAUGGCUGGGACCGUAGCCAGAUUAAUGAUAUAAUGAUGACUUGUGUUAUUUUGCAUAACAUGGUAGUGGAAGAUGAAGGAGCCCAUGCUCGUAAUGUUGAUUUCUUGAACAUAGGACAACUAGCUGUUCCGUACAGCAACAACCCAGACAGGGAGGCAUUUGUUGCUGCACACCAUAGGCUUCAUGACCGAAACACGCACUAUCAACUACAAUAUGAUCUCAUCGAGCACCAGUGGAUGAGACUGGGAUCUGCUCAACAGUAGAUGCUCAACAGCUACAAUAUGUUUUCUCCCUGGUUAUCUUGUCAUGGCAGAAGAUGUUCGAGGUCUCCUUUUCAGAUUACUUUUGUUUUCAGACUUUUGGGUAAUGAUCUAUGGUUCACUGCACACAGUUUGGAUUUUACAACCGACAAGCUCAUGGAGGUAACUACUCUAAGAAGAUGUUGGGACCAAGCUGGAGAGGCCUGCUGACACCGAUGAAGCCAUGGCUGGACAGGAGGUCGCUGCUGGCGAGUGAUGAUGCUUUCUUUUGGGUUACUUCUGUCGUUUGUGUUUCUAGAACCUAUCUUGUAAGGUGGUGAUAUGAACUUCGAGUCAAUGUUUGAUUCCAGCUUUGCGCCACACUUUUGUCAGAAGCUGUUCUGUGGCUGCAUGUUUAAGUAUGAAAACUGAAGAAUAUUUGCAUCGAGUUUUAUCA
Molecule: long non-coding RNA, 1896 nt
Organism: Panicum virgatum (switchgrass)
Lineage: Eukaryota; Viridiplantae; Streptophyta; Magnoliopsida; Poales; Poaceae
Exons: 4
Source: RefSeq, a predicted model, not a curated record